This 433-nucleotide unclassified non-coding RNA is filed under the name soil metagenome. Its description in RNAcentral is "partial contains 5.8S ribosomal RNA, internal transcribed spacer 2, and large subunit ribosomal RNA". The stretch from base 1 to 120 matches the Rfam family "5.8S ribosomal RNA", at positions 35 to 154 of the family's 154-position model. The record is from RNAcentral.
GAUGAAGAACGCAGCGAAAUGCGAUACGUAAUGUGAAUUGCAGAAUUCAGUGAAUCAUCAAAUCUUUGAACGCAUAUUGCGCUCUCUGGUAUUCCGGAGAGCAUGCUUGUUUGAGUAUCAGUAAACACCUCAACUUCCAUAUCUUUUUUGAAAUGGGAGUUGGACUUGAGUGAUCCCAACGCUUUUCCUCACCGAAAAGUGGCGGGUUACUUGAAAUGCAGGUGCAGCUGGACUUUUCUCUGAGCUAUAAGCAUAUCUAUUUAGUCUGCCUAAAAAACAGAUUAUUACCUUUGCUGCAGCUAACAUAAAGGAGAUUAGUUCUUGUGCUGACUGAUGCAGGAUUCACAAAGACAGGCUUCGGCCGACUUUGUAAACUCGAUCUCAAAUCAAGUAAGACUACCCGCUGAACUUAAGCAUAUCAAUAAGCGGAGGA